Long non-coding RNA from Mytilus californianus (California mussel), 657 nucleotides. RefSeq lists it as uncharacterized. The record is from RefSeq and is a predicted model, not a curated record. NCBI's taxonomy places the organism in Eukaryota, Metazoa, Mollusca, Bivalvia, Mytilida, Mytilidae. The transcript has 4 exons.
CGUAUGUAUAACACUAACCAUAUUUACCUCUAUAGAGGUAAGGUUAUACAUAUAUAUAACACUAGCCAUAUUUACAUCUAUACAGGUAAGGUAAGUUUAUACAUAUAUAUAACACAAGCCAUAUUCUAUACAGGUAUUAACCAUCAGCCAUAUUUACCUCUAUACAGGUAUUAACCAUUAGCCAUAUUUACCUCCAUACAGGUAUUAACCAUCAGCCAUAUUUACCUCUAUACAGGUAAGGUUAUACGGAUAAUAAGUAUCAGCCAUGGUAUCAUUUGUACGAUAUUACAUGACAUAACCCAUUUUAUUGAAAACUAAAUAAACAAAAAACAAAUUUAAAGUUACUGAAGUCGAGGAUAUUUGUUACAGUCAGGCAAUUUUAACAGAUAUUCAAAUAUGUAUGUGUAUAACAAUGAAAUUACCAAAAAUUAACAUGAUCAUAUAAUUUAGUGAAUGUGGAAAUGUUUCUUCACAAUAUUAGUAAAUUAUAACGAAUUGAGUGAUUAUUGUCUUAAGUUUGUUACUUCCCUUACUAUAGGUGCAAGAUGGUAAAAUUAUACAUAUGCCUGACUUUUAAUCUAGUUGAAUGUUAUAGACAUUACUUUAGGUCAUCCACAUCAUCCAUUUCUGUCAUCCUAGCACAUUAUUGUUUGUUUC